AUGGGUGGCCGUGCAACCUCAGGAUGUGUGUGAAGGAUGCUGGGAGCAACACGAAUGACAAGAGAAUAAAAAGCUUUCAGUGCACCCUGUGAGUGGAAAGCUCUGUGUACUCGGGACAGGGCCUGAUCCCGAGGAAGGAGACGCUUUUUUGGGGAUGUCAGCACACCAAACCUGCUGGUGCUGCUGGGAAAUGCCGGCUGUUAUCCUCAGCUCCAGACUGCACCUCAUCCCCAGGGUCCUAAGACAAGCUUAGGAAGAGGAGAAGAUCCAGCUCAAGUAAUUUUCACUGGUCCUGCCUGGGAAAUUGAUGAGAGGAAAGCGAACAGACAGGGAUGGAGAUCCAACUGUUGCACUGAGACCCCGGCCCCCAAAUCUGCUCAGCUUCCCCCUGCAUCCUGCACUCCCCUUGAGACCAGGCGCUCCCUCUCACACCACAUCCCCUAGGCUGAUGAUAUAGACUGUGGUUUUUAUGGAAGAACUCAGUUUUUUCUCCCAGUGGUCUGCACUGACAGUGAGCUGCAGAUGCAGGAGAUAACCAUGUCUUGUUCUUGACGGUUUAUGUGUGAAAAGUGCAAAUAAAUAAUUCGGAACUCGUGGAAUGGGCUCUUCUCUUGGA
Long non-coding RNA from Sturnus vulgaris (Common starling), 616 nucleotides. RefSeq lists it as uncharacterized. NCBI's taxonomy places the organism in Eukaryota, Metazoa, Chordata, Aves, Passeriformes, Sturnidae. The record is from RefSeq and is a predicted model, not a curated record.